Molecule: ribosomal RNA, 717 nt
Filed under: Pichia kudriavzevii
Lineage: Eukaryota; Fungi; Ascomycota; Pichiomycetes; Pichiales; Pichiaceae
Description: partial 18S ribosomal RNA
Rfam family: 5.8S ribosomal RNA (bases 379-531)
Source: RNAcentral
CCCAGAUAGGCAGGGGCNCAAUUUCUUUCUAGAUACACGUGAUUACCCAAGGGUGCGCUUCCCACAGGGGAGCGCACUGGUUGCGCUCUUUACCGCUGCAGACCCGCAAGAUCUGUGGUCGACAUGUUUCUGUUUUUUGCGAAGCUGAUGUAUCGGUAUAUUGUUCUUUUUCCACCUCUUAGGUGUUGUGGUUUUCUUUCCGCCCCCGCAGGUGUGUAUUUUUUUCCCNCAANGGCCCCNUCUUCUUUNGGGGGGGGCUGCGGAAGGAUCAUUACUGUGAUUUACUACUACACUGCGUGAGCGGAACGAAAACAACAACACCUAAAAUGUGGAAUAUAGCAUAUAGUCGACAAGAGAAAUUUACGAAAAAACAAACAAAACUUUCAACAACGGAUCUCUUGGUUCUCGCAUCGAUGAAGAGCGCAGCGAAAUGCGAUACCUAGUGUGAAUUGCAGCCAUCGUGAAUCAUCGAGUUCUUGAACGCACAUUGCGCCCCUCGGCAUUCCGGGGGGCAUGCCUGUUUGAGCGUCGUUUCCAUCUUGCGCGUGCGCAGAGUUGGGGGAGCGGAGCGGACGACGUGUAAAGAGCGUCGGAGCUGCGACUCGCCUGAAAGGGAGCGAAGCUGGCCGAGCGAACUAGACUUUUUUUCAGGGACGCUUGGCGGCCGAGAGCGAGUGUUGCGAGACAACAAAAAGCUCGACCUCAAAUCAGGUAGGA